RNAcentral lists this ribosomal RNA (1131 nucleotides) under Rhinoptericola mozambiquensis. RNAcentral's name for it is "partial large subunit ribosomal RNA". It matches the Rfam family "Eukaryotic large subunit ribosomal RNA", at positions 331 to 935 of the family's 3401-position model. Lineage: Eukaryota; Metazoa; Platyhelminthes; Cestoda; Trypanorhyncha; Rhinoptericolidae. The record is from RNAcentral.
AGUCCGAUAGCGAACAAGUACCGUGAGGGAAAGUUGAAAAGUACUCUGAAGAGAGAGUAAACAGUACGUGAAACCGUAUAAAGGUAAACGGGUGGCGUCAAGCUGCAAGCCUGGAGGAUUCAGCUGGUCAUCAUGUAGUGUAUACGUCCUGUGUAUUUCAGUCGGUAAUAGGCGAGUAGUCCACUGGGUAACGGUGGGCCCGACCGCAAGGUUGGGAUGUAUGUGCCACACGGUUGGUGGUGUACGCUGCUCAACUAUUGGACUGGAUGGCCAGUGCACUUCCUCCGUUAAGGUGAACACCACGACCGGUGGAACUGCCAGUCUGGUAUGGUCAAGUUGUGUCCAAUUGUGCUUUCGGGUGCAUUGGAUGCAAUCACAGGCAAAUUCGGUGGACGGUGAGUAGGUUUCGGCUUGCUCAUGUUAUCGGUCAUCGGUUGUCAACGGGUCUGUCUGUCAGCGUUUGCAGUAUCUGGCGGAUGAUCUGGUGGACCAUACUGGUAAGAAUAACUGUGCAGGGCACCGGAGUUAUCGGUCUCAAAUUCCGACUGGCGCAUGCGCUGCAAGUGUGUGUGGAGAUGUCAUUGCGGCCUGUCGUUGGCUAGGUCUGAUUGUCGUGUUGCCUGCGCAAAGUGGGUCCGACAGUGGCUUGGCUACGGUUGGUGCAUGCAGUGGCAUUUCUUUGUCAGUUGGUGUGGGCCGCAUAGUCUGUGGUGUAGUGGUAGAUUAGCUACCCGACCCGUCUUGAAACACGGACCAAGGAGUUCAACAUGCACGCGAGUCAAUGGGCACUUCCGAAACCCAAAGGCGCAGUGAAAGUGAAGCUACACGUUGUCUUCGGGCAGCGGGUAGUGUGGUGAGAUCCUGCUGUUACUCGCAUCUGCACUUCUGUGUACUUGUUGGCACAGGGCGCAAAGAGCGGUAGGCGCAUCACCGGCCCGUCUCAUGAUGUGGUCAUUGGUGUAACCAUUCCAGUGCGUCAUCGUGGCGGAGCAUGAGCGUGCAUGUUGAGACCCGAAAGAUGGUGAACUAUGCUUGCGUAGGUUGAAGCCAGAGGAAACUCUGGUGGAAGACCGCAGCGAUUCUGACGUGCAAAUCGAUCGUCAAACGUGAGUAUAGGGGCGAAAGACUAAU